AAUAUUGGACAAUGGGGGCAACCCUGAUCCAGCCAUCCCGCGUGUAUGAUGAAGGCCNNNGGGUUNUCAAGAACUUUUGGCAGNGACNAAAAGGUAUCUCCUAAUACGAGCUAAUGCUGACGGUAUCUGCAGAAGAAUCACCGGCUAACUACGUGCCAGCAGCCGCGGUAAUACGUAGGGUGCAAGCGUUAAUCGGAAUUACUGGGCGUAAAGCGUGCGUAGGCGGUUCGGAAAGAAAGAUGUGAAAUCCCAGGGCUCAACCUUGGAACUGCAUUUUUAACUGCCGAGCUAGAGUAUGUCAGAGGGGGGUAGAAUUCCACGUGUAGCAGUGAAAUGCGUAGAUAUGUGGAGGAAUACCGAUGGCGAAGGCAGCCCCCUGGGAUAAUACUGACGCUCAGACACGAAAGCGUGGGGAGCAA
This 419-nucleotide ribosomal RNA is filed under the name uncultured bacterium. RNAcentral describes it as "partial 16S ribosomal RNA". It matches the Rfam family "Bacterial small subunit ribosomal RNA", at positions 360 to 771 of the family's 1533-position model. The record is from RNAcentral.